Molecule: ribosomal RNA, 468 nt
Filed under: uncultured bacterium
Lineage: Bacteria
Description: partial 16S ribosomal RNA
Rfam family: Bacterial small subunit ribosomal RNA
Source: RNAcentral
UGGGGAAUAUUGCACAAUGGGCGAAAGCCUGAUGCAGCAACGCCGCGUGAGUGAUGAAGGUCUUCGGAUUGUAAAGCUCUGUCUUUUGGGACGAUAACGACGGUACCAAAGGAGGAAGCCACGGCUAACUACGUGCCAGCAGCCGCGGUAAUACGUAGGUGGCGAGCGUUGUCCGGAUUUACUGGGCGUAAAGGGUGCGUAGGCGGAUGUUUAAGUGAGAUGUGAAAUACCCGGGCUUAACUUGGGUGCUGCAUUUCAAACUGGAUAUCUAGAGUGCAGGAGAGGAGAAUGGAAUUCCUAGUGUAGCGGUGAAAUGCGUAGAGAUUAGGAAGAACACCAGUGGCGAAGGCGAUUCUCUGGACUGUAACUGACGCUGAGGCACGAAAGCGUGGGUAGCAAACAGGAUUAGAUACCCUGGUAGUCCACGCCGUAAACGAUGAGUACUAGGUGUAGGAGGUAUCGACCCCU